RNAcentral lists this ribosomal RNA (206 nucleotides) under uncultured bacterium. RNAcentral's name for it is "partial 16S ribosomal RNA". It matches the Rfam family "Bacterial small subunit ribosomal RNA", at positions 568 to 774 of the family's 1533-position model. The record is from RNAcentral.
CGUGUAGCCGGGCAGACAAGUCAGAUGUGAAAUCUGGAGGCUUAACCUCCAAACUGCAUUUGAAACUGCCUGUCUUGAGUGUCGGAGAGGUAAUCGGAAUUCCUAGUGUAGCGGUGAAAUGCGUAGAUAUUAGGAAGAACACCGGUGGCGAGGGCGGAUUACUGGACGAUAACUGACGGUGAGGCGCGAAAGCGUGGGAGCAAACA